GUCUAUGGCCAUACCACCCUGAACGCGCCUGAUCUCAUCUGAUCUCGGAAGCUAAGCAGGGUCGGGCCUGGUUAGUACUUGGAUGGGAGAAGUAAAAAUGGUCAGAGUUA
Molecule: ribosomal RNA, 110 nt
Filed under: Myotis davidii
Lineage: Eukaryota; Metazoa; Chordata; Mammalia; Chiroptera; Vespertilionidae
Source: RNAcentral